This 489-nucleotide ribosomal RNA is filed under the name uncultured bacterium. RNAcentral's name for it is "partial 16S ribosomal RNA". It matches the Rfam family "Bacterial small subunit ribosomal RNA", at positions 28 to 527 of the family's 1533-position model. The record is from RNAcentral.
GACGAACGCUGGCGGCGUGCUUAACACAUGCAAGUCGAACGGAAAGGCCCUGCUUUUGUGGGGUGCUCGAGUGGCGAACGGGUGAGUAACACGUGAGUAACCUGCCCUUGACUUUGGGAUAACUUCAGGAAACUGGGGCUAAUACCGGAUAGGAGCUCCUGCUGCAUGGUGGGGGUUGGAAAGUUUCGGCGGUUGGGGAUGGACUCGCGGCUUAUCAGCUUGUUGGUGGGGUAGUGGCUUACCAAGGCUUUGACGGGUAGCCGGCCUGAGAGGGUGACCGGCGCGCGUGGGAGAGGGACACCGCGCAGGGAGCGGGGUGGGGCAGCGGGGGGUAGUGGUGCACGGUGGGCGGAAGCAUGGUGCGGCGGGGCGGGGUGGGGGUGGGCGGGCUUGGGUCUGUAAGCCGCGUUGGGGGGUGACGGGGGGGGGGGGACGGUAGGGAGCAAAGAAGCACCGGCAAACGACGGGCCAGCGGCAGCGGUAAUAGUG